This 346-nucleotide ribosomal RNA is filed under the name uncultured bacterium. RNAcentral describes it as "partial 16S ribosomal RNA". It matches the Rfam family "Bacterial small subunit ribosomal RNA", at positions 338 to 682 of the family's 1533-position model. The record is from RNAcentral.
CCUACGGGUGGCAGCAGUGAGGAAUAUUGGUCAAUGGCCGCAGGGCUGAACCAGCCAAGUCGCGUGAGGGAUGACGGCCCUAUGGAUUGUAAACCUCUUUUGUCAGGGAGCAAAGGGCGCCACGUGUGGCGCUUUGCGAGGAACUGAAGAAAAAGCAUAGGGUAACUCCGUGCCAGCAGCCGCGGUAAUACGGCGGAUGCGAGCGUUAUCCGGCUUUAUUGGGGUUAAAGGGGGCGCAGGCGGAAUGUCAAGUCAGCGGGAAAAUUUCGGGGCUCAACCCCGUCGUGCCGUUGAAACUGGCGUUCUUGAGUGGGCGAGAAGUAUGCGGAAUGCGUGUUGUAGCGGU